UGGGGAAUCUUGCGCAAUGGGCGAAAGCCUGACGCAGCGACGCCGCGUGGGGGAUGAAGGCCUUCGGGUCGUAAACCCCUUUCGGCAGGGACGAAGCGAUCACGUGACGGUACCUGCAGAAGAAGCCCCGGCUAACUACGUGCCAGCAGCCGCGGUAAGACGUAGGGGGCGAGCGUUGUCCGGAUUCAUUGGGCGUAAAGAGCGCGCAGGCGGCCUGGUAAGUCGGAUGUGAAAACCAGAGGCUCAACCUCUGGCCUGCAUCCGAUACUGCCCGGCUAGAGGUAGGUAGGGGAGAUCGGAAUUCCUGGUGUAGCGGUGAAAUGCGCAGAUAUCAGGAGGAACACCGGUGGCGAAGGCGGAUCUCUGGGCCUUACCUGACGCUCAGGCGCGAAAGCUAGGGGAGCGAACAG
Molecule: ribosomal RNA, 410 nt
Filed under: uncultured bacterium
Lineage: Bacteria
Description: bacterial SSU rRNA
Rfam family: Bacterial small subunit ribosomal RNA
Source: RNAcentral